This 174-nucleotide unclassified non-coding RNA is filed under the name uncultured Ascomycota. RNAcentral describes it as "sequence contains ITS2". The record is from RNAcentral. Lineage: Eukaryota; Fungi; Ascomycota. RNAcentral also lists the same sequence under 1 other name.
UCACCCCUCAAGCCUGGCUUGGUGUUGGAUGUGAUCGUCGUGAUGGACGAUCCGUCCCGAAGACAAUGACGGCGUCACGAAGUGCCCCGGUACAUGGAGCUUUCAUAGCACGUAUCGGUGUCGGCUGCGUGACCCGGCCACGGUGGACCAACUUGUUGGUUCACACUUCCACAA